AAAUUAGUUUAGAAAUGUAAAAGUUUUGCAGUGCACAGUUCGUAAAGUUCAUACAGAAUAUAACCCAUGUUCACAAUUGUGCGAGGCCACGAUGGAACAGAGCCCAAUCAUUCGGAUCACUGGUAAAAAUUUUUGAUUAGCUUUGAACGACUGCUUGCGAUUAAAACUUUCUUGAACUUUGGUUACAGUUAUUUAAUAACUAUGUUUUUAUGUAUUCUAUUAAAAGUUCACAUGUACAUAAACCAAUAUAUUACGCAACAAUAAUCUUAGUCUCUAAUAUUUUGUUUAUAAUCCGUAUAAAAAUAUAAUUUUCCACGCCUCAAACGAUGAUCUACUUUGCAACCGCUUCACCAUGACUAGGCUAUCUCAACUUGAAAUUUUAAGUGGCCCCCAUCUACGAUUUUUUUUGGAAUUUUGUUAAUACACUAUAAGAUAUCACGUAUCAGUUACUCCCGAUAUCCGGCUGAUUGUCCUUCCACCACAAUAUCCUUAAGCAAACGGACUUCCACAUGCCACCACAACAUCUUUGGUAGUACGAUCUCUUCAUCACCUCAAAUCCACACGAUUAACAUCUUAAAUUUACAAUCAGUUUACGAUAUCCCGAUUAACUGCUUAGUUUAUAAGUUAACAUUAGUGUUACUACCGAAUCGAAACAAACACACACAAACCCACUCCCCACCCACCAUUCACAAAUUCGAUAUCACCACCGAACACACGUAUUUCGAUAGGAAACUCGCAAUUUUUCCCGCCGGAAUAAAUAAUAUGGACGUGCCGUCAUGCAUACUUCGCCCGCGGCCCAGCGACUUUAUUAUUUUAUAGUUUACAGUUUGUUAAGUCCCAGUUAAUAUGUUGCUUUUUUUUCUUUCAUUCUUCCUUCCACUGCACGAAACUGGAGGCGCAGGCAAAUUUAUAAAUAAUGAAGUGCGCCCCGCCGGCACCGAAGAGCGGGAGGCGAGAGCACACCGGGACCAGACGAAGGAAUAAAACCGGGUCCCAUGUAUAUUUGAUAACCGCGAUCUGCCAGGAAACUGUUGCAUUUCUCGGCUCGGGAAGUUUAACCGUCUCGUAUUUACGGUCAGAGUCUUAUGAAUAAAAACGUUCGGGACGUUCGGAAAAUGGAAACUGCGAAUUAUUUUUUUUUUUUUUCGAGUUAGUGGUUAGUUAAUUACGAAAAUGCCAACGUGUUGUCCAUUUCAAUUUGUAAUAGAAACAGCAGAGUAUUUUAUUUAUUUUACACAUCAUUUGUUACAAUAUUUAAGCUAAGAUUACUAAUUCUUUCAAAUAAAAAUAAUUUUGUGCACAACAAAUAUAAUAUUUAAGAUAGUUACUGUUAACACAUCCCGUUCACUUGCAGUCAUUCAAAAUUAACAAAAAUUUUAAACCCUACAAAAUUUAAUUGGAAAAAUAAUUUUAAAAAUGUGUUCAUGGGUAAAUUCUCAAUUUAUUUUGGAUAUUUUGCUUUGUUGAUUCAAAUGUGCCUAUAAUAAAAUUCUUGUGGUCUGUCCCCGACAUCGAUUAGCCAAAAACGGCUUUGCAUGAUCAACAGUCGAACGAGAAAACGGCUUCCGAUCCCUCAGUUACCCGCCAGCAUCAAUCUGUUCACAUCAAACGGCAAACAGAAGGACGGUCUGUGACGGUGAUUGAUUUUCGGUCUGAUGUCGUCUCAAAAGGAUCAUAACUCAGAUAGAAAAAAAAACGCAUCGUCAAUUAGGAUGUGAAAUAAUCCCCCAGAAAUUUGAAUAAAACGUGUCAGGCGAGGAAAAAUCUCGACGUCAUGUACCUGUCCGUGUCUUUUGGCGGCGACGAAAAUGAAAAGCACUCAAUUACGGUCGACGGAAAAGUCUGAUUUUCCACGUUAAACUAUGCAGCAAAUUCUCGAAAAGACGUCGCCGGAUGGAAUUUGGGGGUUUACGGUCGGUUCUCGGAGCGCAACGGAAGGAACAUGCAGCGAAUUAAUAACUGCACCUGAGCCCGAUAAACAAUGGAACAAACACUUUUUAUGGACUUUCGGAUGCGAUGCUUAUAUGCAACGGAGAAACUAGACCGGCGGAGAUCGAUACACGUUGAGGGAAUUGAAACAACAUCGGACGAGAAAAUGGAUUUCACUGUAAACAACCAUGGACAGAAAAUAUAAAUUUUUAUUAUUUUA
Long non-coding RNA from Aethina tumida (small hive beetle), 2149 nucleotides. RefSeq lists it as uncharacterized. The record is from RefSeq and is a predicted model, not a curated record. NCBI's taxonomy places the organism in Eukaryota, Metazoa, Arthropoda, Insecta, Coleoptera, Nitidulidae. The transcript has 3 exons.